ACUCCUACGGGAGGCGCAGUAGGGAAUCUUCCACAAUGGGCGAAAGCCUGAUGGAGCAACGCCGCGUGUGUGAUGAAGGCUUUCGGGUCGUAAAGCACUGUUGUAUGGGAAGAACAGCUAGAGUAGGGAAUGACUUUAGUUUGACGGUACCAUCCAGUAAGGGACGGCUAAAUACGUGCCAGCAGCCGCGGUAAUACGUA
This 200-nucleotide ribosomal RNA is filed under the name uncultured Leuconostoc sp. RNAcentral describes it as "partial 16S ribosomal RNA". It matches the Rfam family "Bacterial small subunit ribosomal RNA", at positions 335 to 529 of the family's 1533-position model. The record is from RNAcentral. Lineage: Bacteria; Bacillati; Bacillota; Bacilli; Lactobacillales; Lactobacillaceae.